RNAcentral lists this small nuclear RNA (303 nucleotides) under Castor canadensis (American beaver). Its description in RNAcentral is "7SK RNA (ENSCCNG00000024818.1)". It matches the Rfam family "7SK RNA". Rfam says of the family: 7SK was discovered as an abundant small nuclear RNA in the mid-70s but a possible function has only recently been suggested. Lineage: Eukaryota; Metazoa; Chordata; Mammalia; Rodentia; Castoridae. The record is from Rfam by way of RNAcentral.
GGAUGUGAGGGUGAUCUGGCUGUGACAUCUGUCACCCCACUGAUCAUCAGGGUUGAUUUGGCUGGUCUGGCUGGCUAGGUGGGUGUCCCCUUCCUCCCUCAUCACUUCAUGUGUGUCCCUCCUAAAGCUGUGAGCUCAGUCAAAGAGGACGACUAUCCCAGAUAGAGGAGGACUGUUCUUUGGUCAAGGGUAUACGAGUAGCUGCACUGCCUUGCUAGAACCUUCAAACAAGCCAAAUAACCAGGAAUAUAUAAAGAGAUAGCCACAAAGAGCCACAAAGAUCCUAACUUUCAGUAGUUCUUA